CCGCAACGUCGGUCCCAUGACACGGGGCAACGACCUGCGCGGAAGAAGACGGAAACUCGGAGCCAGUUUGAGCCAAUCCUUUCUCGGCUUGGCGACGAACUAGUUUCUCUCGGAAAGAAAGAUGACCGGCAACACAAGCCGGCACUUCCGCCGGAGAAGUUGGAACCGGAGCCGGAGAAGUGGCCUCACCCAUCUCGACGUCGGAAUCCUUCUUAUCA
RNAcentral lists this long non-coding RNA (218 nucleotides) under Brassica rapa (field mustard). RNAcentral describes it as "long non-coding RNA (BRAP_LNC006871)". Lineage: Eukaryota; Viridiplantae; Streptophyta; Magnoliopsida; Brassicales; Brassicaceae. The record is from RNAcentral.